GAUGAACGCUGGCGGCGUGCCUAAUACAUGCAAGUCGAGCGAACAGACGAGGAGCUUGCUCCUCUAACGUUAGCGGCGGACGGGUGAGUAACACGUGGAUAACCUACCUAUAAGACUGGGAUAACUUCGGGAAACCGGAGCUAAUACCGGAUAAUAUAUUGAACCGCAUGGUUCAAUAGUGAAAGACGGUUUUGCUGUCACUUAUAGAUGGAUCCGCGCCGCAUUAGCUAGUUGGUAAGGUAACGGCUUACCAAGGCAACGAUGCGUAGCCGACCUGAGAGGGGGAUCGGCCACACUGGAACUGAGACACGGUCCAGACUCCUACGGGAGGCAGCAGUAGGGAAUCUUCCGCAAUGGGCGAAAGCCUGACGGAGCAACGCCGCGUGAGUGAUGAAGGUCUUCGGAUCGUAAAACUCUGUUAUUAGGGAAGAACAAAUGUGUAAGUAACUAUGCACGUCUUGACGGUACCUAAUCAGAAAGCCACGGCUAACUACGUG
RNAcentral lists this ribosomal RNA (497 nucleotides) under uncultured bacterium. RNAcentral describes it as "partial 16S ribosomal RNA". It matches the Rfam family "Bacterial small subunit ribosomal RNA", at positions 28 to 507 of the family's 1533-position model. The record is from RNAcentral.